UAGGUUACGUCAAGACUCACGGUUAUUAACCGUAGGCUUUUCUUCUCUACUGAAAGUGCUUUACAACCCGCAGGCCUUCUUCACACACGCGGCAUUGCUGGAUCNGGCUUGCGCCCAUUGUCCAAUAUUCCCC
Molecule: ribosomal RNA, 133 nt
Filed under: uncultured bacterium
Lineage: Bacteria
Description: partial 16S ribosomal RNA
Source: RNAcentral